This 164-nucleotide ribosomal RNA is filed under the name Bonia levigata. RNAcentral's name for it is "5.8S ribosomal RNA". It matches the Rfam family "5.8S ribosomal RNA". Rfam says of the family: 5.8S ribosomal RNA (5.8S rRNA) is a component of the large subunit of the eukaryotic ribosome. It is transcribed by RNA polymerase I as part of the 45S precursor that also contains 18S and 28S rRNA. The record is from RNAcentral. Lineage: Eukaryota; Viridiplantae; Streptophyta; Magnoliopsida; Poales; Poaceae.
AACACGACUCUCGGCAACGGAUAUCUUGGCUCUCGCAUCGAUGAAGAACGUAGCGAAAUGCGAUACCUGGUGUGAAUUGCAGAAUCCCGCGAACCAUCGAGUCUUUGAACGCAAGUUGCGCCCGAGGCCACCCGGCCGAGGGCACGCCUGCCUGGGCGUCACGC